Transfer RNA from Spizellomyces punctatus DAOM BR117, 71 nucleotides. It matches the Rfam family "tRNA". From Rfam's summary of the family: Transfer RNA (tRNA) molecules are approximately 80 nucleotides in length. Lineage: Eukaryota; Fungi; Chytridiomycota; Chytridiomycetes; Spizellomycetales; Spizellomycetaceae. The record is from Rfam.
GCCAAGGUAGUAUAGUGGCAGUACACUGCGUUGUGGCCGCAAUGACCCCGGUUCGAUUCCGGGCCUUGGCA